RNAcentral lists this ribosomal RNA (244 nucleotides) under uncultured bacterium. Its description in RNAcentral is "partial 16S ribosomal RNA". It matches the Rfam family "Bacterial small subunit ribosomal RNA", at positions 527 to 770 of the family's 1533-position model. The record is from RNAcentral.
AUAGGGAGCAAGCGUUAUCCGGAUUUAUUGGGUGUAAAGGGUGCGUAGACGGGAAAGCAAGUUAGUUGUGAAAUCCCUCGGCUUAACUGAGGAACUGCAACUAAAACUGUUUUUCUUGAGUGUCGGAGAGGAAAGUGGAAUUCCUAGUGUAGCGGUGAAAUGCGUAGAUAUUAGGAGGAACACCAGUGGCGAAGGCGACUUUCUGGACGAUAACUGACGUUGAGGCACGAAAGUGUGGGGAGCA